RNAcentral lists this ribosomal RNA (301 nucleotides) under uncultured bacterium. Its description in RNAcentral is "partial 16S ribosomal RNA". It matches the Rfam family "Bacterial small subunit ribosomal RNA", at positions 509 to 807 of the family's 1533-position model. The record is from RNAcentral.
CAGCAGCCGCGGGAAUACAGAGGGUGCGAGCGUUAAUCGGAUUUACUGGGCGUAAAGCGUGCGUAGGCGGCUUCUUAAGUCGGAUGUGAAAUCCCUGAGCUUAACUUAGGAAUUGCAUUCGAUACUGGGAAGCUAGAGUAUGGGAGAGGAUGGUAGAAUUCCAGGUGUAGCGGUGAAAUGCGUAGAGAUCUGGAGGAAUACCGGUGGCGAAGGCGGCCCCCUGGACAAAGACUGACGCUCAGGUGCGAAAGCGUGGGGAGCAAACAGGAUUAGAGACCCCAGUAGUCCCUGUCUCUUAUAC